CCUACGAGUGGCAGCAGUGGGGAAUAUUGCACAAUGGGGGAAACCCUGAUGCAGCGACGCCGCGUGAGUGAAGAAGUAUUUCGGUAUGUAAAGCUCUAUCAGCAGGGAAGAAAAUGAUGGUACCUGAUUAAGAAGCCCCGGCUAACUCCGUGCCAGCAGCCGCGGUCAUACGUAGGGGGCAAGCGUUAUCCGGAUUUACUGGGUGUAAAGGGAGCGGAGACGGCAGCGCAAGUCUGGAGUGAAAGGCCGGGGCUUAACCCCGGAACUGCUUUGGAAACUGUGCAGCUAGAGUGCAGGAGAGGUAAGUGGAAUUCCUAGUGUAGCGGUGAAAUGCGUAGAUAUUAGGAGGAACACCAGUGGCGAAGGCGGCUUACUGGACUGUAACUGACGUUGAGGCUCGAAAGCGUGGGGAGCAAACAGGAUUAGAUACCCUUGUAGUC
Molecule: ribosomal RNA, 440 nt
Filed under: uncultured bacterium
Lineage: Bacteria
Description: partial 16S ribosomal RNA
Rfam family: Bacterial small subunit ribosomal RNA
Source: RNAcentral